AAACAAGGGAAACGUUUCUUUCAACAAUGUCAUUCAUCUAGAUUUUGUAUGACAUAUGACUUAUCGGAAACAAGGUAAUAUUUCUAAAUUGUUUUGCUAUUUUGUUCUUCCAUGCUCUUCAAUUUCGUGCUUUAUUUGGCCUUUUAAACAUUUUUUAGAUUUGAGCGUCACUAAUGAGUCUUUUGUAGACGAAACAUGCGUCUUGCGUAAAUACACAAUUUUAUAAUCCUGGUAUCUUUGAUGAGUUUAUUUGCUAUUAUAAAUAAUGACUAUGACAAACAUAUUAUAAGCACAAAGUUAUGAGAAUAAAUUUUGCAUUGUUUGUAACAAAGGGAUGGGCAUAGAGAUGAAAGACAACAUCAAAAAGUAAAAUAACAAAAAUGCUGAACUCCGAGGAAAAUUCAAAAUGGAAUGUCCCUAAUCAAAUGGCAAAACCAAAACUAAAACAUCAAACGAAUUGAAACUAUUUUUCUAUCUACCUUCCUACCUUCCUACCAAGUGUGUUCUUCAGAGGAUCAGGAAACAAGUGUAUAUUUGUUCACCUUAAUAUUCAUUAACACAGUUGUCAAGACCUUUACUUGUUCGAAAUUAUAUUAAAAACAUUCUAUAUGGCAUAUGACCUUUACACAUGAAAAACAUACACGUACUGGCUUAAGCUGUAUGUAAACAAUAAAACAACAGUGAGAUGUUUUGUCCACUGGUAUACUUAUCUUGUACACUGGUAACAGGUGCUUUAAUUAUGUAUAUGUACAUAAAUUGACAUGUACGAAAAUAUGUAGUUACGUUGUGAAAAACAUGAAACACAUAGCUAUAAUAUAGUUAACAAAUCAUAAAGUUAUGAAAUUCAAAACCUUUGGAGAAUUUUGAAUAGGAAAUCCGGACAGGUGAGUUUUUUUUUUUAUUUUUUCGUUUUAUUUCUAUCUUUGAGAUUUCAAUACAGCGUCUUAGUAAGGGGACGACCAUUUGAUAUUCUAGGGGGUGGGGGUGGGGGGGGGGGGCAGGAGGAUUUUGAAAAUAAAUAACUCAGCCUUGAUAAUCACAAAAAUAAAUGGUUUGUUCUGUGGAAGUUUGAAAAUAAAUUACCUGACUUGCAAUGUAUAGAAAAUAAAUAACUCAGCAGGUCUAAUCGAAAGUAUGAGAUGACACCAGAUUCUUCAUAAAUUCAUCUUUUUUCCCAAAAAAAAAAAAUCCGGAAACACUUCCCAAAUUUUAUAAUAACAAAAGUAUAAAUAUUAUUAAAAUAUACUUGAAAUGUCUGAAAAUUGGUUUCAUUUUACUUGAGGUAUAUUGUCUCAGGAAACCUUACCUCACUUUUAUUUUAACAGGGCCGUAACUACAUGUAGGAAAUUUCAAAACCAAAUGCUCGUUUCCAUAUCAAAUUGUGUUCACGGCCUUGCAAGAAGAAAGUUCUGUUUUCCCUCAGACUUAUAGCCCUGAUUUUUCAGGAUCAAUGUUUCUUAUUUAUUUGUCCUUUGUUCAUUGAUUGCCCUUCUGUAUUCUGUUAGUGUUGCAAUCUUUUUGUAAUCUAGUAAUUUUGUUAUAAAGUUGAUCAUGAGUUUAAAAAAAAACAGCAGCCCCAGACUUAACUAUGUGAAUUCCAUUUUUGCUUUAUCAUGCACAUUGGUCUUUUGAUGUUGUUCCUAGAAACUUCAGUCUUACACUGAAUUUAUACAUUUUGCUUUGAGAUCAAAAUAUUGUCAAAAAAUUAUUAAAACAAAACUUCAUUUUUAGAUUAUGAAAGGGUCUUUGGAACACCCAGAAAGCAUGAUUUUGCAUCAUUUGUUCUAUAGCUUCUUCGGCCUUCUGCUCUAAAACCCUUCAAAAAAAUUUUGACUCGCUCCACUCGGCGUAGUAUGUUUGCCAAUACAUUUAAAAAAGUGCCUAGUUAUAACUUAACUUUAAUACUAUGUAUGUAUGCAAUACAUGUAUAUGCAGUUGGGAAUUUAAAAGAUUCAUUUCUGCAGAAGGGGGUGGUUAAUCUUUUCUGAACCAUUUAAUUUUAUGUAAUUGAAUGGUACAUAAUGACUUGACGAUACUAUAGCGAGGCAAAAAAAUUUUUAUAUGUAUUAUUUAUAAUAAAAAAAUCAUUUAAAAAUUGUAUGUUUUCGAAUAUCAAAAAUAUAGUUGUGAAAAUGAAUAAUCAGUCCCUUGCUUUAAUGAAAAUGAAAAAUCUUGCUUCAAUAGUGCAGAAAAUGAAUAAUCUGUCCUCUUAGUUUACAAAAAUAAAUAACCGAUCAAAAACAAAUCCUCCUGCCCCCUCCUACCCCCCCCCCCCCCCAGAAAAUCAAAUGGUCGUCCCCUAAGUGUUUAUAAAUCGAAUUUGUCUAAUAAUGAAGUUCGUUUUUGAUAUAUUUUCUGGUGCGUGUUAUAUAGAAUUAUAACACAUAAUAAACCAAUCUAGAAACAAGUGAUGUUAUCUCCCAUGAAGGCUACGAGCUCGUGAUCUGUCUACCGUUAUGGCUAAGACUGCGUCCUGUUGUCGACCAUAACGGCUACAAGUGCGUGCUGUUGUCUUUCAAAACUGUGCUAUACUUCUUUCUGCUUUCUACGAAUUUUUAUAUCAAAACUGGUCACAGUGCUCAUACUGUUACUCUCAACCAAGGACGUAUGUGAGUUAUAUGUCCUUGUAUCAACUUAAUUCAUUAUGAUAAUACUAUUAUAUAAGAAUACUUAUAUCAAUGAGUUCAUCGAGGAAGCAGAGUAAGUGGACAUGAUUAUGUUCGGAUUCAUUGCAUUACUCAAAAUGGAAAUAACACUAUCAAUGUUAUGUGUCCGAAUUUGAAGCUCAUUACUAGAUUAAUGUUCACCAGAAACGCUCUAAGCCAAGAUGUUGAAAGCCGGUUGAAUAAAUAGCAAAACAGGGAAAUUUGAAAUAGUAACAAGAUCUGUCUAAUGCCAUCUUUGCCUGCUGGCGUUGGAUCCUUAUGAAUAAACUCAUCAUAGAUACCAGGACUAAAUUUUGUAUAUACGCCAGACGCGCGUUUCGUCUACAAAAGACUCAUCAGUGACGCUCAGAUCCAAAAAAGUUAAAAAGGCCAAAUACAUACUCAAAAAUCAGUGGUCAAAAAAGAUUUUUUGUAAUACUUAGGAAUACAUACUCAUAAAAACGGUAGCUGCUAUGAUCAUUUAAUACUUAAUAAUGAUUACGAGUACAUAUGCAAGAAGCAGGAUACUUGGCUAUUAUCAUCUUUAGAUUUAUUUUUCUGCAUCAAAAUACAUACACAGUAAUCAGGGUAAAUGGCUGUUUUCAUGUUCAGAUAAAAUUGAGAAAGGAAAUUGGGAAUGUGUCAAAGCGACAACAACCCGACCAUAGAGCAGACAACAGCCGAAGGCCACCAAUGGGUCUUCAAUGUAGCGAAAAACUCCCGCACCUGUAGGCGUGCUUCAGCUGGCCCCUUAAAAAAUGUAUACUGGUAAAUUGAUAAUGAACGUUAUAUUAAACUCCGAAUUAUACACAAGAAACUAAAUUUAAAAUCCAUUGUUAUAUAUAAAAACAUAUUCACAGGAAGCAAAGUAUUAAGCAAUAAUCCUAUUCAGAUUCAUUAUAAUACAGAUGAGAAUGCAUACACAGGAAGCAAAGUAUUAAGCAAUAAUCCUAUUCAGAUUCAUUAUAAUACAGAUGAGAAUGCAUACACAGGAAGCAGAGUGAGUGGCUGCUAUACUUUUAGAUUGACAUACAAGAUAAAUUAAACAGAGGAGGCAGAAUACGUGGUUAUUCAUUGUUAUACAGGAGAAUGCAUACUCAGGAAGUAUGACAUGUGGCUAUGGUCAUGUUCAGAUUAAUUGUAUUUGGUGUAAAUGUACUCAUUGUAAUAUGAAACAAACGGUACAUUGGAAGGUCCAUGUUAUUUUCGGGAUACAUUUUUUAGUAAUCUGAUAAACAAAUUUGAGAUAUAUUUACAAAUGUCAACAGUGUAAUGAGAAAGUGCAAAUGUUGGUGUAGAAUAUUGGGGUUCUCUAGUAAAACGGUUUUUAUAUUGUUGUUUUCUUUGAUUGGUUUUCAUUCAGUUAUUUAAAUACUUUUUGCACUGGGCUGGUGAUACCCUCUGGACCAACCCCGGUAUUUGGUGGGCGUUUGUGGUUUAACUUUUUUUUUUGCAUUGGUAGUUUUGAGAUUUGCUUCAGUGUAUACAGCGUCUUUUUAUUAUUUAUUUAUUCAAUUUCCUUUUAAUAACGGAUGUCAAGUUGGUUCAACAUUUUUAGCAUUCAACAUUCAACAUACUCCAUAUUUUGGUAGAAAUAAAAACAAAAACAACACAACAUUUGCUUUUCUUCCGUGUAACUUUAUAUUGUGACUUGUUACUUGUUAAAAUCUGUCGGGUUCAGGACCAAUCCAGCAUAACUUAUUAUAAUUCAUUGUAAUAAAUUCAAUUUUCAUGAACAUGUAUUUAGAGUUAUCAAGAAUUGUUUUACUAGUAAUCAAUGUAUGAAAAUAAUUUUUUGUUGUCCGAAACUAAUAGACUCAAACCUUGGAUCACAAUAUUUGGUAGAUGGUUUUCUUUUAAGUAAAGAAGGUCUACAAGAGUAUAAAUGGAUUUAGUAGUUUCUGUGAAAAUUUGCAACUUGUUAUUAAUAUGAGAUCAUAUAAAUAAAACUAAAAUAAUGAUUUUACAGCAACCAAUUGCCAAAAGGGUAUGUUAAUUUCUUAACUACAAUGGUAAUAUGAUAAAAAAUGUAUUAGAAUAUAAAUUCAUAGGAACUCCUAUAAAGAGUAAUAGUAAACCUACUUCAAAUAUAGAAAACAUAGCAAGAAAAGUCAUGUAUUUGAUUAAAGCCAAUGUAGCUUCAUUGUGAAAUCUACCAAUAGAAAUGUUUAGUAAUCUUUUUGCUAAAGAAGUUCAAACAACCCGGAGAUACUAAGUAUACCAUAUAUGGAUAGCUAUUCAUUUUAUCCCUGGUGUUCAUUUCUUUUAGAGUUAUUAUAUCUUUGCUAUAUCAUAAUUUGUUUUUGUUUUUGUUUUUUCCACAAACUAUUUAAGUUUAUAUGACAAUAAAAAUAUUGUAUGAUAUGUUGAUCGUAUGUUUUUCAUUUUGUAAUAUUAGGAAUUGUUCGAAUUUAAUUUUUACGUAUGGGGGUACAGCUAGGGAUAUAUAUAUUCUCAUAUACAUGAAAAUCAAAUUCGAACAAUCCUUAUUAAUUCAAAUAGGGAAACAUAUGGUCAGGGAUACAUUAAGGGACAGGCUUAGGUCCAUACGACAUUAUCAGAAAACCUUUUUAUGCCCCAUUUAUGGGCAUUAUUAUGCGACAUUUAUGGGCAUUAUGUUUUCUGGUCUGUGCGUCCGUUCGUCCGUCCGUUCGUUCAUCCGUCUGUUCGUUCACCGUCUGUCCCGCUUCAGGUUAAAGUUUUUGGUCGAGGUAGUUUUUGAUGAAGUUGAAGUCCAAUCAACUUAAAACUUAGUACACAUGUUCUUUAUGAUAUGAUCUUUCUAAUUGUAAUGCCAAAUUAGAGAUUUUACCCCAUUAUCACGGUUCACUGAACAUAGAAAAUAAUAGUGCGAAUGGGGCAUCCGUGUACUUUGGGCACAUUCUUGUUUAUACAGAGCUGAGUGUGUAUUGUUAAGUGUAUAAAUUUUAUACAACAAGAGACACAGACUCAGCUCUGUGAUUUUUUUCUAAGGAUACACACAUUAUCAAAAUUACAAGCACGUGCGAGUUUCAUUCAAAGCAAAAAAAUGAAUGAACCAAUUAGGGAUAACUCUGAAUGAAUGGUCUUAGAAAAUUUAAUCAAUUACAUAGGAAUCUAAUAAGAUAUAUAUUGGAAUGGUCCUGGACGCGACUGAUUUUAAUAUGUCUCUAUUAUUGGAAUCCUUCUCCGAAUUAGGGACCACUCUAUUAUCAAUGGAAAGACCCAAAUGGUCAACGAUUUUAAGUUUCUACUAAUGAUUGUCAAAAUGCUUACAUUCCAAUUUUCAAUAACAGUUAACAGCAAAUCCAUUCUCACAGUAACAGCUAGAAAAAAAAUAGUUCUAUAACAGGUAACAAGGAAUAAUACAAUAACAGCUAACACAAUUUUUUUCUCCCGAAUAACAGAUAACAAAGAAACAAAUUGCCCCAAAAAAGCAUAACAGUUAUACCCCUUGAGUACUUCAUGAAGUAAAGUAAUAUCUGCUUCUGUUUCAUGUCACUUAAAGUUAAAGUGAUUAGCGUUCGUGUAUUUAAAAACAUACGUAUAUAAACAGUAAAUAAGAAUUACAAAAGUAUCACACAGUAGAACUGACCACUGCAAUUGUUUAUACGUACAGCUAAACAACACAUUGUCCGUGUACCCUAAUUUGGUAGCGGAACAGUAUGUGAUACAGCGAAUCACAAUUUAUAAUCUGGAUAUCCCUGGAAAGCGUCUUAUUGUGUGGUUUGCUUCGAUCCAUAAAAUCAUUAUCUUCAUUUGUAACUGUUUUUUUAUACAUUAUUCAGUAUACAUAAUAUGUACUUUUUAAACUUUCUAACAAUCAUGUUGUAUUGAUUUCAAAUAAAACAUCAAAGUAACAUGUAACUGAUUGAAAUCUUUUUCGAAAUAGGAUUCUUUUUCAAAUAACAUCAAAAUAAUCAAUGAUAAUUGAAUAACAUUUUUCUUUAUAAAAAUUCAUAAACUAUCAAAAAAUUAAUUGAUAUGGGAUGACACAAAAUCGGUUCAUGCACAGCAGCAACAAAAGGACACAAAACCAAAGGAACAGCGCACUUUAAAACACCGUGCCAUUUAUUUGCUAAGGAACUUUACAUUUAGAAUUAUCCUCAGAGUAAGUUUGUUUUGUUAUUUUCUUUUUUUUAAAACAAAAAUAAAAACAAAUUAGAAAGAAAUAAGAUAUAAAUAACGACCUCACCUCGUCUCCACAUGAAUAAUCUGAUUUUUAUAUUGUUUAUCAAACUGUAUGUGAGGAUCCGGUCAGUCUGUAAUAAAGACAACAGUAGUAAACCGAUGUUCAAAACUCAGAGAUCGAUAGAAAAAAUCAAAACCUGCCCCGGCUAUCCACUAGUAAAUAUGUUUAAAUUUAUAUAUAACAAUCAAUAUAAGUGUCUAUAAAACAAUAUUCAAGGAUAUUAUUACAGUACUAAAUUGAACAGCUUUAAUAAUAAGUUAAUGGGGUUUGUGUUGUUUAUUCUUUAGUUUUCUAUGUUGUGUCAUGUGUGCUGUUGUUUGUUUGUCUUUUUCAUUUUUAGCCAUGGCGUUGUCAGUUUGUUUUAGAUUUAUGAGUUUGACUGUCCUUUGGUAUCUUUCGUCCCUCUUUUAUAUCUUUCUAAAAGGAUUGACGAGUUACAUAGAUCAAUUCUAAAGUUGACAGACUCUAUACACCACAUCACCGUAAACGAUUACGAUGCGACACACGUUUUACAGCCUAACAUACAUCAUCAUGUAUACAGGUUCUUCAAGACAGAAAUUUUACAAAGAAUAUAUAUUUAUUCCAAAGAAAGUCAAGUAUUUCUCGAAAGGUAAUUUAAUUCGUUUAAUUAUCAUUAUUUCCUAAAAGUUCACUUCAUGAAUUUGUUUCAAUAAUGAUCACAAUUUGGAUUCACCUAACAAGGGAUAAUCGAAAGAUGAUGGGCCAGUGAUACUUUAACUUAGACUUUGAGAGUUAUCUUCAUUUGACGAGUUUUUAAUAAGUGAAGGUGCUGAAGGACCUUUAUUUUAUUUAUCUUUUUAGAAAUAUUUACCUUAGAAUAAAACGAAAGGAAGGUGCCUGCUAAUUCUAAACACUAAAAGUAUCAAAUGAGUUAAUUUUGUUCGAUUUCAAAAUUACUGAAGACUUUUUUCGAUUGUGUAUAUUUUACUUGUUUUAUUUCUCGGUAAUGCUCUAUUCAUAUAUGUAUUUUUUACUUGUUUUAUUUCUCGGUAAUGCUCCAUUUAUAUAUGUAUUGCAUACCUCAGUAAAAAAAUAACCUUAUACAGUCUUUGCGCUUAACCACAGGCCCACCAGCCCAGGCUUGUAAAAAUGCUGUCAGGCCUGUAAAAAUAAUCUCUACAGGCUAAUAGAAUCUAACUAAAAUUUUCGUAAAAUUCAGCUUUGGGCCUGUAGAUUCAAAAGUUUAUCGUGAAGACUGCUUUAUAUUCACAAUCGACAAAGAUAAAAUAUUUAAUUAAUAUAAAAUUAAAACACUCAGUUUGCUACUAAAUACGAACACAAAUAGUCAAACAAUAAUCAAAUUAAAUACAAAUAUCGAAAAUUUACAAAAAAUAUUACAAUGUAAGACGAUAUGCCUCGAUGAUCCCCUUUAAAUAAGUAUACAAUUCUCAUAGUCGGAAAAAAUUAUGCUCAACUCAAUUUUAUUCAUUCAAAUAUAAGGUUUAUAUCAAAGAAAACAAAUAAAAGCAACAGUUCACACACAAUUGCUAACAUUGCUUCUGUAAUUAUACAACUCACUUUUGCCAUGUAUAUAAAUCAUUAUUUUCAUAAUGUCAUAUUCUUAAAGGGGCACUAGCUACGAGAUAUAUAAAAAAUCUAAAGUUUGAUUUUUUUUUCUGUUCAAUCAAUAAUGAAAGUGAAAUAGUGAAAUAACAAUUCGCUUUUUGCAGCCAAAAAGGUUCAAUUUUGUCAAAUUACGCUAAGAAACAUUGAUGAUUACUAAUUCACUUGCAAGUGAAUGAGUCGACCUCUUUAAAUCCGUAUUCAUGUGAACUUCAAUUUAACCCCUAGCUAGAGAUUGACAACGCAUGCAUUGUACACGUACGGGUUAUUUAAAGAAAAAGAAUGUCAACAAUGAAAGUGAAACUACGGUAAAUCAUUUGAUUACUAAUUCGAUGCACAUAAAAUCAUUCUUAUACGGUUAAAAACAAUGAGAAACAUCUAUGUUUAAUCUAUAAAAUAAAAUCAAACAGACCUAUAAAAAUCCAAUUGCACGUGUUGGUUUAAUCUAUUCAUAUCUUUAUUUAUGUUUACAUCGCUUAUAUGGUCAUCUGAGGUCAAAUCGAUAGGUAAUUAGAUGGCGUCUGGACUAAAAUACACACGAAACGAACCUAUAUAUUAUCUACCCCAUGCUCUGUAAACUGUUUAUUUUAGACUUUUGAUAGUUUGGAUAAAUGUUUUACAUUGUUAUAAAUCAAAUAUGAGAAUUUGAGUCAAAUCGGUGACCUUGAAUUUGACAGCUAGUGCCCCUUUAAAGAGAUACUCGAUAUUAAAUGUUUCCCUUUACGCAUUGAAAUAAAGCUAGGGAAAAAAACUAGAAAACAUAUCAGAAGUUGCAUUAAACAUUUGGCGGACAUUAUUUCUUCAAUUAUAUAUGAAAAAUACAUGCUGAUUGGUAUUUUUGUGAGUUUGGUACUGUAUUGCAACACUAACAGUGAAAACAAUGUAAAAUGACAAGAUUAUAGAAUGUGUAUAAUUUAAAAGUAUUUGGGGUAAAACCAAAAUUAUUCACAUUCUACAAUCAUGUCAUUUUACAUUGUUUUCAAUGGAAGUGUUUCAAUACUUUUUUCCAGGUGUAUAGAUGGUUAAAGUGUAACGUAGCUUGAUAAUUAUUUCUGCCACUUGCCCUUGUUCUAAUUGAUUACACCAAUCAUAUCACCAGUGGGUGAGAUAGCCCACUCAUUCUAGUGUAUCAAUAAUGCACUUCUUGAUUUACCUUAUACAUAUGCAUUGAUUAGAACACUGACAUUUCUUUGAAUAACAAAGCCACGUGCGGCCAUGUGUUACACUUCAAUAACAAAGAAAGAAAUCAAACGAACAUUUAUUUGUGUAUUUAUGAGGGUCUAGCGGUUGAGUAUUUAUUUCUAUGUUUCACAUAAACUUAGGACUUUUUUUUUAUUAUGUAUUUGUUUUGUUCAUCAUUUUCUCAUUUCUUUAUAUUUUAAAAGUACCUUAUUAUUCUCAAUUCAUCUCUAUAAAGUGUAAGAACUCCUUAUUCCAAUUCUUUAUACAUCGUUAACGAUCUCCUUAUUCUAAUUUCUUUUAAUAUAGUUAAAGACGUCAAUAUUCUGAAUUCCUUAUACAUAGUUUAAGACAUUCCUAUUCUCAAUUGCUUAUAUAUAGUCUAAGACCUUUUUAUUCUCUAUUUUAUAUAUAUAGUUUAAGACUUCCUUACUCAUAUUUUUUCAUAUAGAGUUUAAAAUCUCCGUAUUCUCAUUUUUAGUGUAUAGUUCAAAAAACCUUAUUUUCUUUUUCUAUAUAUUGUUUAAGACCUCUUUAUUCUCAAUGCUUUAUAUAUAGUUUUAAGCCUCCUUAUUCUCAUUUUUGUAUAAAUAUAUAUUGUAUAAGAUCUUCUUAGUCUCAAUUCUUUAUAUAUAGUUUAAGACAUCCUUGAUUCUCAAUUAUUUAUAUAUAUAUAUAUAUAUAUAUAUAGAUCCCAUUUCUGUACACUAAAAAUAAAUACUUCGUGUAUUCUAUCAUAAGCUAGAGUUAGAGGAGGGGAUACGGUCUCUGCGCAAUGCUAGGCAGUGUUGUCGUAGAAGUUAGAAAAUAAAGUACAAGUUCCAGGGGAGGAAGUUACGAAUCAAAUCUACUCUAACAUCGUUAGGUUGAUUUUCUAGACACUUUAUAUAUAUAUAUAUAUAUAUAGUUGCAGACCUCCUUACUCUUAAUUUUUUAUUUAUUUGGUCCAUUAUCUCUUUAAAAACUAUAACCACCAUUCCCAUUCCUGAAAAAUGCAUCCAUAUCUCCAUUUUGGAUGACUGUUUCUCGGUUUUGAAACAUUCAGUUUUGAUUGGAUAGUUUUGAUGAAUUAAAUUUUAUGUUGUUUAAUCUUGGGUUUCAAAUUGACAACUUCAUAAACUGUUGAUGGUGUAAAAAAGUAAAAUGACAAAUAUCAAACAGCAAGGAAAAUUCAAAACGGAAUGUUCCUCCUUAUCAAAUGACAAAACUAAAAGGUGAUACACAUCAAACCAAUGGAAAACAUCGGUCAUAAUCCUUACUUGCAAUUGGUACAGGCCUUUCCUUAUGUAAAAAAAUUGUCGAUUAAAUCUGGUUUUUUAACUAGCUUAAACUCUCACUUCCAUACAACAUGAACUUUUAAUGUGCAAUAUUAUUUUUAUGUGAUAAAAUAGAUUUCAUCUGAAAUUAUGUGUUCGUUCGUUGUAAUUUGAUCUGAACAUUUACGGAAUGACUAUAAUAUAGUUACUGUCUUUUCGAAUUAUAUCAAAAAUAUGAUGCACACUGCAUAACCGUGUGCACCACAUUUUUUAAGCUAUUUUGAAAAAGCCAAACAGUGUUACAGUAAUUCCUUAUAAUUUAAUUUUAAAUGGCAUUUGGAUCCAGGUUAAAUUAUAAAAAAAAAACGUUGCUGAUGUCACGGUCACAUUACAAAAUUAUGUCUAUGAGCUGAUAGACAAAACACUGUCAGUUAAUCGAAAGACAAUGCAAAAUUAAAAAUGUAAAGAAGCUAUGUUGGUGCAACUUGUUAAGUAUUCACCUACAUGUAGACACAACUUCAAUGUUAAUGCGGAUGCUCUCUAUAAAUAUUAUUCUACUGAUGAUAAACUGACUUAUAAUAUAAAAAGAUGUGCCACUGAGACAUCUCUCCACAAGAAACCAAAUGACAUGGAAGGUAACAACCAUAGGUCAUCGUACGUCAUUCAACAAUGAUAAUUACAAUUGGUUAAACACAUAUCGUAUUCCUAUCAUGCCAUUUUUGUCAUGAUCCUCAGUUUUCACACGAAUUGCUAAAUAAUAAAACACACCACGAACAACUGAAUUGCUUCAUUUAUUCACGCUUCUUUUAAAUAAUAAACUUGUUCAUGAUGACAUUUGAAUAUGGCUUGUAACUUGAUUAUUAUGUGUAAAUGAAGGGUUUAUUUAUAAUUAAUUUGGAUGUUUCAGCUGAUUGUCCCGAUAAUAGAAAAGGUUGUGACGUAUUGGCAGACGUACGACGUCAUUGAGAUGUCGAACACUUAUCCCGCCUUUUCCCAACCGACCUGUUACAUUAGUAAAUAACAUUUAAUUGACAUUAACCAUACAUUGCCUCAAUCAAAUACACAUUUUUCCUCGUGCAUGUAGGUUAAGGAACAAUUAAUUUUUGGUCUAAACGAACAUUUACCUUUUUUUUAAUCAUAAUGUAUUCCUCAAUAAAUAAAAGACUUUUAUGAGCACGACACGGAAAAUUGGGAUUAAUAUUGAACCUUUUUUUUUAAAAUAAUAAUGCAAUUCUCAAUAAAUAAAUGAAUUGUAUGUACAUGACACGGAAAAUUGGGUCAAUAUUGGUUGACAUGUUAAUAUGUCUAUAGAAGGAUUAAGUAAGAAUUAUGGCUGAUAACAUUGUUCCCUACCACUAUUUCAAUACAAUUUGAUGGCGAACCGGAUUUCAGUUUUAGAUAGUUGCUUAAAACAUUUGUACAUGUGUGUGCGUGUGUGUUUUUGGGAAAUUAAGGACCACGUUAACUGCGGAUUUAUAACAAGUGCUAAAGACCCAAGAGACAUCAGUUAAUCUACACAUUAAUCCGUCAACAUUGAGAUUUUGAUUUCGAAUUCGAACCAUUCUCGUAGCGAGGUGUGCUCGACUCCACACUUUAUUCGCACGAUUGUGCCAAACUAACAAGAUUCCGUUUAUACUUUUAGAUGAUGUGGACCCUAUUUCUCCAUUGGACACUCUUAAUGAAUAUGGUAUGGAUAUCUACAAGUGAAAAAUUAGUGUAUAUGAAAACGGGUAAUGACUUGAUAAAAAGGAAUAAUUCUAUGGAGAGUAAUGGCGGCUUGUCAAAGAUACGCAGCUAUACUGAUUGUAUUAUUUACGAUUUAGCUGAAGCCGAGGUGAGAAAUUUGUCUUUAACUAAAAUCCGUCAGAACUGUAACGAAUUAUUUAUACAACAGACACAAAUAUGGAAAACAAACAUGAAAGACAGCAAUGUAGCAAACUAUGUCGGCCAUUUAUUAAGAGGAGUACAUUCUGGGAUUGCAGAUUACCAAAAACGGAAGAAGAGGAGUAUAUUUGGUGUUGGAGUUAUGACCAGGAAGGAAAUAAGAGAGCCUCCAUAUGAGGAUAAUUGGGGUCGGUAUGUGAAAGCCGUUAGACGUUUGAAAAAUAGCUAUG
This 12949-nucleotide long non-coding RNA is filed under the name Mytilus galloprovincialis (Mediterranean mussel). Lineage: Eukaryota; Metazoa; Mollusca; Bivalvia; Mytilida; Mytilidae. The record is from RNAcentral.